GAUGAAGAACGCAGUGAAAUGCGAUAAGUAAUGUGAAUUGCAGAAUUCAGUGAAUCAUCGAAUCUUUGAACGCACAUUGCGCCCGCCAGUAUUCUGGCGGGCAUGCCUGUUCGAGCGUCAUUUCAACCAUCAAGCCCCAGGCUUGUGUUGGGGACCUGCGGCUGCCGCAGGCCCUGAAAACCAGUGGCGGGCUCGCUGUCACACCGGGCGUAGUAGAUUUUAUCUCGCUCAGGGCGUGCUGCGGGUCCCGGCCGUUAAAAGCCUUUUUUUACCCAAGGUUGACCUCGGAUCAGGUAGGAAGACCCGCUGAACUUAAGCAUAUCAAUAAGCGGAGGA
This 336-nucleotide unclassified non-coding RNA is filed under the name soil metagenome. RNAcentral's name for it is "partial contains 5.8S ribosomal RNA, internal transcribed spacer 2, and large subunit ribosomal RNA". The stretch from base 1 to 120 matches the Rfam family "5.8S ribosomal RNA", at positions 35 to 154 of the family's 154-position model. The record is from RNAcentral.